Molecule: ribosomal RNA, 438 nt
Filed under: Wolbachia pipientis
Lineage: Bacteria; Pseudomonadati; Pseudomonadota; Alphaproteobacteria; Rickettsiales; Anaplasmataceae
Description: bacterial SSU rRNA
Rfam family: Bacterial small subunit ribosomal RNA
Source: RNAcentral
CAUACCUAUUCCAAGGGAUAGGGUCGGCUCGGCCGGAUUUUACACAAGUGUUGCAUGGCUGUCGUCAGCUCGUGUCGUGAGAUGUUGGGUUAAGUCCCGCAACGAGCGCAACCCUCAUCCUUAGUUGCCAUCAGGUAAUGCUGAGUACUUUAAGGAAACUGCCAGUGAUAAGCUGGAGGAAGGUGGGGAUGAUGUCAAGUCAUCAUGGCCUUUAUGGAGUGGGCUACACACGUGCUACAAUGGUGUCUACAAUGGGUUGCAAGGUGCGCAAGCCUAAGCUAAUCCCUAAAAGACAUCUCAGUUCGGAUUGUACUCUGCAACUCGAGUACAUGAAGUUGGAAUCGCUAGUAAUCGUGGAUCAGCAUGCCACGGUGAAUACGUUCUCGGGUCUUGUACACACUGCCCGUCACGCCAUGGGAAUUGGUUUCACUCGAAGCU